UACGUAGGGUGCAAGCGUUAAUCGGAAUUACUGGGCGUAAAGCGUGCGCAGGCGGUUUUGUAAGUCUGACGUGAAAGCCCCGGGCUCAACCUGGGAAUUGCGUUGGAGACUGCAAGGCUUGAAUCUGGCAGAGGGGGGUAGAAUUCCAUGUGUAGCAGUGAAAUGCGUAGAGAUGUGGAGGAACACCGAUGGCGAAGGCAGCCCCCUGGGUCAAGAUUGACGCUCAUGCACGAAAGCGUGGGGAGCAAACAGG
This 253-nucleotide ribosomal RNA is filed under the name uncultured bacterium. RNAcentral describes it as "partial 16S ribosomal RNA". It matches the Rfam family "Bacterial small subunit ribosomal RNA", at positions 524 to 776 of the family's 1533-position model. The record is from RNAcentral.